This is a long non-coding RNA of Chrysolophus pictus (golden pheasant), 2690 nucleotides long. Lineage: Eukaryota; Metazoa; Chordata; Aves; Galliformes; Phasianidae. The record is from Ensembl.
CUCAGACUUAGCCUGUAAAAGGCAUUCACCUUAAGCUCAGUUUAUGUGCUAAAGAGUUGUUGUAAAUUCUUUCUUGUCUUUUUGAAAAUUGAGGCACGGUUCACCUCCACAGAUUCUCUUCUGGAUGUUUUCUUUCAAAAUCUUAGUCAGAAACUGUUUUUGAUUACAGGGAGAUAAAAAAUUAAGGUGUGAUUCUGCUGAUCUUCGGCAUGACAUUGACCGCCGUAGAAAAGAGCGAAGUAAAGAGCGAGGAGACUCAAAGGGCUCCAGGGAAUCCAGUGGGUCGAGAAAGCAGGAGAAAACUUCAAAAGAUUACAAGGAUUACAAAUCUUAUAAAGAUGACAGUAAGCAAAAAAGAGAGCAAGACCGUGCUAGAUCUUCUCCAUCUUCCUCUCCAUCUGCUUCUUCAUCCAGUUCUCGAGAAGAAAAGGAUUGCAAGAAAGAAAGAGAUGAAGAGUUCAAAACUCACCACGAACAGAAAGAAUACUCUGGUUUUGCAGGAGUCAGCAGGCCAAGAGGCACCUUUCAUGAUGACAGAGAUGAUGGUGUGGAUUAUUGGGCCAAACGAGGAAGGGGCCGUGGUACUUUCCAGCGUGGCAGAGGGCGUUUUAACUUCAAAAAGUCAGGUAGCAGUCCGAAGUGGACACAUGACAAAUACCAAGGGGAUGGGAUUGUGGAAGAUGAAGAAGAAACGAUGGAGAACAACGAAGAUAAGGACAGACGCAAGGAGGAAAAGGAAUAACCCUGGACGAAAGCUGAAAGAGCAGCUUUUGCACCACCCACACAACGUUUUUAAUAUGUUCUUUUUGUUGUCAAAUGAAUGUAAGCAUUUUACUUAAAUUUUACUGUUGGAAGUAGUUUAGAAGGAUUGUUUUUCUGUUUUAAGCCUUUAGGAAAAAAAAUCUUGAUAUAGUAAACUAUGUUAAUGAUCGUACAGUUAGAAAGUAAAAUAUUUGUAACAACUUUUAAGAAAUUUUACUGUUUGUUAUAUGCAGUGUAAUUCUGCUUUGUCCAAAUACAUGGUCAAGUACAACUCUUAAAAGUUUUGAUUCUCCCCCUAUGUCUGUGUUUUAUUCUGAAGUAAACUUCCAGCUCUGCACACCUGAAAUCUUGGAGGAGCAUUUUUUAUCAGCUGAUUGCUACUUCUGUGUUGCUUUUUUUAUUAAAAACGUUUUUAAUGAUAGUUAUCCAGUCAUAAUGUGAAUACAAAGUUAUGUAUGAGGUUGAUUAUACGUUAGUUCACAAGAAUCACAUUUACAGGAGGUCUUGAAAUGAUAGAUUGAUUCUUGAUUCUUCUUCUCACACUACAGAGAGAAAAACUGAAAGAUAGUAACUGUCACUGUUCUCUAGUAGCCUGAGGAAUACAUAUGUAUAUGAAUUCUUCAGUGAGAUUCAAGAUUAUUUCUCUUUUGGAAUGUGAAUUUUAGAAGCCUGUUUCCAAACCACUGGUGCUAGAAACUCUGAACAGGUCUGAAAACCUGAAUGCUCUCUGCCAUUUCUGCAGUUGGUAGAAAACUAUCUACAGCUGUCUUAAUUCUGUAACUUGUGUCCAGAACACGAUAGUCAUGUAUUGUGGAUACCUUGUGAUGUCUUCCGUCAUCAAAAGGCACUUCUCUUACCAAGGGUAACAUAGUACUAUGUUUAAGGUUUUUUAAACCUGUGGUUUAAACUCACUGCAAGAUAAAGGUGCUGUCCGUUAUUAGGGGUGGCAUUUUCAGGGCCGACAAGAUCACAGUUUCAGCUUUAAGUCAGUAACUUAAUCUUCCACAUUUUAGUUAAGAAAUUGAUGGCAGUAUCAAUGUUGUAUUUAUAUCAGUCUUGGUUUCAAUUUGUUAAAUUGCCUCUUUUUUUAUGUGGAAUCCCCUCUUCAGGUAAGUGAUCUGGCAAGAGUAAGUCUUUAAGUUUUCUAUCACAUCAGCAGCCUUAGGUGAGAUCUUGGAGGGAAAAUGCACACCAACCCAACACAUUCCCCUGAAAAUACAUAAAGCAAGUUACAUUAAAAUUUGAAUCAGUAAAAAUACUUAGAAUGUGCUAAAUGAUUAUAUGAAGUAUUCUGUUACCAUGCCCUGGAAAUACAUGCUCUUACUAUUCCACUUUAUCCAGUGUAUAAGUCUGAAGUUGUAACUCGAUAAAAGCUGUUAGCGGAGGGUGUGAGAAAUGAGUUAGUCCUUUACACUGAUUUUUCUGAAUAGUUGUGCCCUUUCAGUAUUGUAGUUAAAUUGUGGGAGUCAGUCUACAGUAUUUAAAAAAAAAAAAAAGUGCUUUGGUUAAAAUGAAAAUGUAUUUGUCUUAAAUACAUAUGCUCUUCUACUGGCUUUGUUAGUAGUUAACUAUCUGACCUAUCCAUGCUAAAUAAUAGAAGGCAAAAAACCAGCAUUCUAACUGUAUUUGAAAAAAAUGGAUUUCAGAUUGCACUACUGUACCAGCAUCUGUGUAGAAAGGGAAUUAGGAUUAAUAUUUGCCCUUCAGCGGUAGGUACUAAAGGAUAAUUUCUGCCUUACAUUUAAAGAAGUUUGGGCAGACUAUACCCUUUUUGCAAAACCUGCUUUUGUAUGUACAGUGCAUCUUUUAAUAACAAUUUGAAAUGUGAACUGAUUAUUUUUCUAAGUAAAUCUUGCAUGUAAUUUGUGUAUACUGAAUUAGAAGCAAGAAAAGGAGCAGAACAAUAAACUGGUAUACUGACAGAGUCA